Molecule: long non-coding RNA, 4917 nt
Filed under: Manihot esculenta (cassava)
Lineage: Eukaryota; Viridiplantae; Streptophyta; Magnoliopsida; Malpighiales; Euphorbiaceae
Description: long non-coding RNA (MESC_LNC008854)
Source: RNAcentral
GUGUUAGGGUUCUAGAAUAGUAGAGGGACUAAAAUGUAAUUUUCCCAACAUGGGAUUUUUCAGAAACAAGAUGGGUAGAAAUUAGUAUAAAAGAGUAGUAUCAAAAGUGUUAUGUCAAUUCCUUGUAAUUCAUUUUCAUGUAUUUAUUAAGGGGGGGGUGUCACCUCAGACAUAUUGAUGUCUCCUCCUGCCAUAGUUCAACUUGUCCUAAUGGCUCUUUAGGGGGGAGUGACUAGUUGGCCACCAGUGAGGACUGGGCCCAGCUGGCCACCGUAGGCCUAUCGAGUCCCUGUGUUGUGCCUCCACCCUUGUAGGCGUUCCCCCCUGUCUGCAAGUGGUGUGAGGACCUUUGUGCUGAGUUGUGUAAUGAUUGUUUUGCCCCUGGAAUGAAAUGAGUAGCCCUUUUUAUCAAAUAUUUGUGCCUACAUGUGAUACUUUUGUUGCUUAUGCCUUUAUGCUUGUUGGAUGUUGAUAUUUGCUCGAUAUGUAUUGAUCUUGCUCGCUUUAAUAGCUUUCUAGCCUCUCGGCUAACCAACUUGCUUCGUCGUGCAGAUUAACGUGUAGACACAUUGGCUGACUUGCCUUGAUAGUGUUCAAGUCAAGUGCCACACGGUCCCAACUGAGAGCCAAAGCCUGGGCCCGUGACAUUUGGUAUCAGAGCUCGAACGAUCUACGAGAGUGUGAAAGCAUGACGAAGUCAGCAACCCGCAUUGAUGCCCUUGAGAGGAGGGUUGAUGAUCUUGCUGCGUUGUCUAAUACAUAUGCCACCCAAGAGGGGAUGGCACUGGAGUUUGAUACCGUUUACCAGCGCAUGGCGCUGCUUGAAGAGAAAAAUGAGCAACUAUUGGCUGUGAUAGCCAAGUUGUCCAGAAGUGAACGGGAGCCCACGGUGGUGGAGCCAAUCCAAAAUUCCCCUGUUGGGAAUGACACCCGGUGGGGUGAUCUUGAAACAAAAGUGAAUGAACUGGGGGCGGUGGCCUCUCAAGUUGAUGAAAUGACGGAAAAUCUAAAAUCUCUUGCUGAUGCUCACACUUCCCUAGUGGGGGUUGUUGAUGAGAUCAAGGACAAUGUCAAAGACACCGUGGAUGUUAUAAGAGAGGGUGUUGAAAAUACCGUGAAACCUAUAGAAGAUGACAUACAGGGGCUUAGGGCACAAGUGAAUGUGCUGAUGAGAACAGCUGGGACAAGCCAAAUUCUUCACUAAAUUAGAUCUCCGAUCAGGGUACCAUCAGGUGCGGAUUAAGGAAGGAGACGAGCCCAAAACAACCUGCGUGACACGGUAUGGUGCUUUUGAAUUUCUUGUUAUGCCUUUUGGACUAACCAAUGCUCCUGCCACCUUUUGUACUCUAAUGAAUCAGGUAUUUCACGAAUACCUUGAUCAGUUUGUAGUGGUCUAUCUCGAUGAUAUUGUCGUGUACAGCUCCUCCAUGGAAGAACACCGGAAACAUCUCCAACUAGUCUUUGAAAAACUGAGGGAGAACAAAUUAUUCUUAAAGAAGGAAAAAUGUGCUUUUGCUCAAACCCGGAUUCAGUUCUUGGGUCAUGUGAUUGAACGAGGGCGUAUAUGCAUGGAUCAGGGUAAGAUAAGAGCCAUCCAAGAAUGGAGUGUGCCGAGGGGCGUGACAGAGUUGAGAUCCUUCCUCGGGUUGGCAAAUUACUAUAGGCGAUUUGUGAAGGGAUACUCUCACAAAGUAUGUCCGCUUACAGAAUUGCUAAAGAAGGGAAACAAGUGGCUAUGGACGAAGGAGUGCCAAGCUGCUUUUGAUGAUGUAAAAGAAGCUAUCACAGCAGAACCAGUAUUGUCUCUUCCCGACAUGAACAAGCCUUUUGAGGUACAGACUGAUGCAUCAAACUUAGCAUUGGGGGGAGUCCUGAUGCAAAACGGUCAUCCAAUCGCUUUUGAAAGUCGCAAGUUGAAAGAUGCAGAGAUUCGUUACACUGCCCAGGAAAAGGAGUUGCUAGCAGUUGUACAUUGUUUACGUACAUGGAGACACUACUUGUUGGGGUCAAAGUUUGUGGUAAAGACAGAUAAUACAGGGGUCAGCCAUUUCUUUUCACAACCGAAAUUAUCACCUAAACAAGCCAGAUGGCAGGAGUGCUUAGCGGAAUUUGAUUUCCAAUUUGAAUACAAACCUGGGAGUUCCAAUAGAGUUGCAGAUGCCUUAAGCAGAAAGUCAGAAGUUCUCACUCUUAGCCGAAUUGCUCAGUUGUCUCAAAGCCGAGUGGAGAACUCAGUGGGGGAUCGGAUUCGAGGAAAUUUGAAGAAGGACCCUCAAGCACUAGCCUUGUGGAACCUAAUUCAAGAAGGGAAGACUCGCCAAUUUUGGAUAGACAAUGAUCUAAUUUUGACGAGGGGAAGUCGAGUAUAUGUGUAACAGCCCGGCCUUCCUCCGAGACCGGCACUGCUACCACCCACAGCCCGUGACCUCCUUCGGGCCCCGCCACUGUGAGCAGCUCUUAACAUCCCUUCACCCUCACGGGAUCCAGGCAGGAUUUGUCCCUCGGGAGAGCACCUACGGCCCAUCUUACCCCAAGUGGAUUUGGCCCAAAUUUCCCUUUGGAAAUUAGGUCGCCUCCCCCACUGCUCGAACCCUUGACCUCCCACUUUAAGGGAAUAGUCUGGUGAGAGUGAGUACCAAUUGUACCAAUUGUUCCAUUGGAACAAUUGGUACUCACUCUCACCAGACUAUUCCCUUAAAGUGGGAGGUCAAGGGUUCGAGCAGUGGGGGAGGCGACCUAAUUUCCAAAGGGAAAUUUGGGCCAAAUCCACUUGGGGUAAGAUGGGCCGUAGGUGCUCUCCCGAGGGACAAAUCCUGCCUGGAUCCCGUGAGGGUGAAGGGAUGUUAAGAGCUGCUCACAGUGGCGGGGCCCGAAGGAGGUCACGGGCUGUGGGUGGUAGCAGUGCCGGUCUCGGAGGAAGGCCGGGCUGUUACAAUAUGUCCCAAAGGGAGGGAACAUCAGAAGACUACUAUUAAAAGAAUGCCACGAUACGUUAUGGGCUGGACAUCCUGGUUGGCGACGCACGCUAGCUUUGCUAAAACAGGGCUAUUAUUGGCCUCACAUGGAAGAUGACGUGAAAGAGUAUACAAAGACUUGUUUGGUGUGCCAACAAGACAAAGUGGAUAGACAAAAACCGGCAGGUCUCUUGCAACCUCUACCAAUUCCAAGCAGACCUUGGGAGAGUGUUUCCUUGGAUUUCAUUGCGGGUCUACCAAAAGUGGGGGAGUAUGAUCACAUCUUAGUAGUCGUGGAUCGGUUUUCCAAGUAUGCAACCUUCAUACCAAUGUCGAGAUAUUGUUCAGCUGAAGAAACAACCAAAGCUUUCUUUAAACAUGUGGUGAAGUAUUGGGGUGUCCCAAAAAGCAUUAUCAGUGAUAGAGAUGGGCGGUUCACAGGUACCUUCUGGUCAGAGUUAUUUCACAUCUUAGGCACCAAGCUAAAUGUGUCGACAAGCUUUCAUCCUCAAACCGACGGACAGACAGAGCGAUUCAAUGGGUUGCUAGAGGAGUACUUGCGACACUUUGUCAGCACCAGCCAAAAGAACUGGGCCUCGUUACUUGAUGUUGCACAAUUUUGUUUUAAUUCUUUAAAGAGCUCUGCUACUAACAAAAGUCCAUUUGAGAUUGUUACAGGGCAACAACCACUGGCACCUCAUACUCUCGAUGUGCCAUACACAGGGAGGAACCCCAAGGCAUAUCAAUUUACGAAGGAAUGGAAGCGAAAUGCAGACAUUGCACGAGCUCAACUAGAGAAGGCAUCCAAGCAUAUGAAGAAGAUGGCUGACGAGCAUCGAAGACCUCAAGAAUUUGCAGUGGGAGACCUAGUGAUGGUGAAGCUGAUACCAGAACAACUGCGAUUCCUCCGCAACCGAGAUCGAAGAUUAGUGCGCAAAUAUGAAGGGUCAAUCCCAAUUAUUGCCAGAGUAGGGCCUGUUGCAUAUAAAGUGGAGCCACCGCAAUGGAUGAAGAUCCACCCAGUACUUCAUGUGAGCAGACUCAAGCCAUACCAUGCAGAUGUGACAGACGUCACCAGAAACCAACCCUCAAGACCAGCCGUUUCACGAUCAGCACCAGUACAUCAAGGCGUUGAAGAAAUUUUAGCUGAACGAGUUAUCAAGACCACCAAAAGCCCUCCUUACAAAGAGUACCUCGUCAAAUGGAAAGGCCUCAGCAUCGAAGAAACCAGUUGGGAGAAAGAGUCAAGCCUCCAACAACAUUCCCAGAAGAUUGAAGAGUUCCGUCAAACUCAGUCGACGAGGACGUCGACCGUUUAAGUGGGGGAGAGUGUUAGGGUUCUAGAAUAGUAGAGGGACUAAAAUGUAAUUUUCCCAACAUGGGAUUUUUCAGAAACAAGAUGGGUAGAAAUUAGUAUAAAAGAGUAGUAUCAAAAGUGUUAUGUCAAUUCCUUGUAAUUCAUUUUCAUGUAUUUAUUAAGGGGGGUGUCACCUCAGACAUAUUGAUGUCUCCUCCUGCCAUAGUUCAACUUGUCCUAAUGGCUCUUUAGGGGGGAGUGACUAGUUGGCCACCAGUGAGGACUGGGCCCAGCUGGCCACCGUAGGCCUAUCGAGUCCCUAUGUUGUGCCUCCACCCUUGUAGGCGUUCCCCCCUGUCUGCAAGUGGUGUGAGGACCUUUGUGCUGAGUUGUGUAAUGAUUGUUUUGCCCCUGGAAUGAAAUGAGUAGCCCUUUUUAUCAAAUAUUUGUGCCUACAUGUGAUACUUUUGUUGCUUAUGCCUUUAUGCUUGUUGGAUGUUGAUAUUUGCUCGAUAUGUAUUGAUCUUGCUCGCUUUAAUAGCUUUCUAGCCUCUCGGCUAACCAACUUGCUUCGUCGUGCAGAUUAACGUGUAGACACAUUGGCUGACUUGCCUUGAUAGUGUUCAAGUCAAGUGCCACACGGUCCCAACUGAGAGCCAAAGCCUG